RNAcentral lists this transfer RNA (82 nucleotides) under Echinostoma caproni. It matches the Rfam family "tRNA". Rfam says of the family: Transfer RNA (tRNA) molecules are approximately 80 nucleotides in length. Lineage: Eukaryota; Metazoa; Platyhelminthes; Trematoda; Plagiorchiida; Echinostomatidae. The record is from Rfam by way of RNAcentral.
GACCUCGUAGUUCAGCCGGUGAAGCGUGCGCGUGCAAAGCGUAGGCGGCGUCCAUGCGUGGGUUCGAAUCCCUCCGAGGCUA